UGCGUAGGCGGUUUGGUAAGUCAGAUGUGAAAUUCCUGGGCUCAACCGAGGAACUGCAUUUGAUACUGCCAGACUAGAGUACUGGAGAGGAGACUGGAAUUCACGGUGUAGCAGUGAAAUGCGUAGAUAUCGUGAGGAAGGCCAGUGGCGAAGGCGAGUCUCUGGACAGUAACUGACGCUGAGGCACGAAGGCCAGGAGAGCAAACG
This 207-nucleotide ribosomal RNA is filed under the name uncultured bacterium. RNAcentral describes it as "partial 16S ribosomal RNA". It matches the Rfam family "Bacterial small subunit ribosomal RNA", at positions 568 to 774 of the family's 1533-position model. The record is from RNAcentral.